AGAGUUUGAUCCUGGCUCAGGAUAAACGCUGGCGGCGUGCCUAACACAUGCAAGUCGAACGCUCUGAGUAAUCAGAGAGUGGCGGACGGGUGAGUAACACGUGGGUUAUCUACCUUUGGGUGAGGAAUACCGGCGAGAAAUCGCCGACAAAACCGCAUAGCUUCGGGAGACUGAAGAAAGUCGCAAGACGCCCAAAGAUG
Molecule: ribosomal RNA, 200 nt
Filed under: uncultured bacterium
Lineage: Bacteria
Description: partial 16S ribosomal RNA
Rfam family: Bacterial small subunit ribosomal RNA
Source: RNAcentral